This 1266-nucleotide ribosomal RNA is filed under the name uncultured bacterium. RNAcentral's name for it is "bacterial SSU rRNA". It matches the Rfam family "Bacterial small subunit ribosomal RNA", at positions 96 to 1373 of the family's 1533-position model. The record is from RNAcentral.
CGGCGGACGGCUGAGUAACGAGUAGAAUUUGCCCCUUAGUGUGGAAUAGCUCACCGAAAGGUGUGGUAAUACCGCAUAGUCUGGUCUUUUUGAUCAGUAAAGGACGUAACUGUUCGCUAAGGGAUAAGCUUGCUUCCUAUCAGGUAGUUGGUGAGGUAACGGCUCACCAAGCCAAUGACGGGUAGCUGGUCUCAUGAGGACGACCAGCCAGAGGGGGACUGAGACACGGCCCCCACUCCUACGGGAGGCAGCAAUUAGGAAUAGUCGGCAAUGGGCGAAAGCCUGACCGCGCGACACCGCGUGUAGGAUGAAGGUCUAACGAUUGUAAACUACUGUGGCAUGGGAAAAAGGCGUAAGCUUGAUGGUACCAUGCUAGAAAGGGGCCGCUAACUGCGUGCCAGAAGCGUCGGUAAGACGUGGGCCCCAAGCGUUAUCCGGUGUAACUGGGCAUAAAGUGUCACGUAGGCGGCUAUGAAAGUUACCUUUUAAAUUCCGAGGCUCAACUUCGGAACUGGGGGUAAGACUCCAUAGCUAGAGUUUUGUAUGAGGGUAAAUGGAACUUUGAGAGGAGUAGUGAAAUGCGUUGAUCCUCAAGGGAACACCAGUGGCGAAGGCGAUUUACUGUAACAAAACUGACGCUGAGGUACGAAAGCUAGGGGAGCGAAUCAGAUUAGAGACCUGAGUAGUCCUAGCUGUAAACUAAUGCCUGCUAGCUGCAUUUCCACCCCUUCGGGGGUUAGGUGUGGCGAAGGAAAUCCGUUAAGCAGGCCGCCUGGGGAGUACGACCGCAAGGUUAAAACUCAAAGGAAUUGGCGGGGAGGCACACAACCAGAGGAACAUGUGGUUCAAUUCGAAAAUAAACGAGAACCUCACCAGGGUUUGACAUGUAGCUGCAAGCCGUAUGAAAGUACAGCCGCCUUCGAGGGAGCUACACAGGUGCUGCAUGGCUGUCGUCAGUUCGUUCCGUGAGGAGUGCCCUUAAGUGGGACAACGAACGCAACCCGCAUCGUGUGUUACAAGUGUCACACGAAACUGCCCCCGAGUUCUCGGGGGAGGAAGGAGCGGCAGAUGUCAAGUCAGCAUGGUCCUUACACCCUGGGCUACACACAUGUUACAAUGCGAAGCAACAACGAGCCUUGCGAACCAGUGAUGGUAAGCUAAUCUCUUAAACCUUCGCUCAGUGGGGAUUGUAGUCUGCAACUCGACUACAUGAACGCGGAUUUGGUAGUAAUCGCGGAUCUAUGAUAUGCCGCGGUGAAUACGUCU